GAUGAACGCUGACAGAAUGCUUAACACAUGCAAGUCAACUUGAACUUCGGUUUGGGUGGCGGACGGGUGAGUAACGCGUAAAGAACUUGCCUCACAACUAGGGACAACAUUUGGAAACGAAUGCUAAUACCUGAUAUUAUGAUUAUAUGGCAUCGUAUAAUUAUGAAAGCUAUAUGCGCUGUGAGAGAGCUUUGCGUCCCAUUAGCUAGUUGGAGAGGUAACAGCUCACCAAGGCGAUGAUGGGUAGCCGGCCUGAGAGGGUGAUCGGCCACAAGGGGACUGAGACACGGCCCUUACUCCUACGGGAGGCAGCAGUGGGGAAUAUUGGACAAUGGACCGAGAGUCUGAUCCAGCAAUUCUGUGUGCACGAUGAAGUUUUUCGGAAUGUAAAGUGCUUUCAGUUGGGAAGAAAAAAAUGACGGUACCAACAGAAGAAGUGACGGCUAAAUACGUG
Molecule: ribosomal RNA, 454 nt
Filed under: uncultured bacterium
Lineage: Bacteria
Description: partial 16S ribosomal RNA
Rfam family: Bacterial small subunit ribosomal RNA
Source: RNAcentral